Molecule: long non-coding RNA, 715 nt
Organism: Hippocampus comes (tiger tail seahorse)
Lineage: Eukaryota; Metazoa; Chordata; Actinopteri; Syngnathiformes; Syngnathidae
Exons: 2
Source: RefSeq, a predicted model, not a curated record
AUGCAUGAAGAACAUGCAUUUUGUGCAUAUGUUCUCCACCUUCAUACCCAUCUCCCACAUGUGACAUGCACCCUUGACAAAUUUGUGAGGAACUUUCUCGGCAUAUUUUGAUCAAAUAUUGAACAAGGGAGGCAAAUCCCUCAUAAUUGUCUUUUUUUUUUUUUUUUUUAAACGGAACAAGUAUUAGUAUGAGUAUCGGACAUAUCGGCUCACAGUAACUGUCUUAACUUCGACAUGUCUUUGUCUGGUUCUGGAUUCCGCUGGGAGCAGCUCUGCUGGCACUAAUCCAUACUUGUACUCUACUUGGCUUGCUUUUUAACGACGAUGAUGAAAACACGAACAAAAAGAAGCACAAGAAGAAGCGGGGACUUGAAAAGGACUGGCUUAGAGCAACACUUUGCAAAGACGGAUGCAAAUCCAUUAGUCGUUUCACAGUUAUAAAAAUACUUAAGGGGCCCUUUUAAUCGCGGCGACGUGUUAAAUGCGCGGAAAUCUGUUUUGAUAACAUUAUUCAUAACACCGGCUUUGCUCGUGUGAAUUAAUAACACUUCAUUUGCAGACGCUUCCAGAAAAGCUGGCAUGGUAUUUGCAGCUAAAGAGAUUAAUUUUCAAACACCUAAUUGACAGACUGGGGUUAUACGGGAUAAGCAACACACUCUAUAAGGCGGCAGCUGCAAAGUCAAGGUGACUGGAAUACUGAGGAAAAAGGCUUCCA